RNAcentral lists this ribosomal RNA (460 nucleotides) under uncultured bacterium. RNAcentral describes it as "partial 16S ribosomal RNA". It matches the Rfam family "Bacterial small subunit ribosomal RNA", at positions 338 to 795 of the family's 1533-position model. The record is from RNAcentral.
CCUACGGGAGGCAGCAGUGAGGAAUAUUGGUCAAUGGGCGAGAGCCUGAACCAGCCAAGUCGCGUGAAGGAAGAAGGACCUAUGGUUUGUAAACUUCUUUUAUAUGGGAAUAAAGUGUGGAACGUGUUCCUUUUUGUAUGUACCAUAUGAAUAAGCAUCGGCUAACUCCGUGCCAGCAGCCGCGGUAAUACGGAGGAUGCGAGCGUUAUCCGGAUUUAUUGGGUUUAAAGGGUGCGAAGGUGGUUAAUUAAGUCAGCGGUGAAAGUUUGUGGCUCAACCAUAAAAUUGCCGUUGAAACUGGUGUGCUUGAGUAGAUUAGAGGGAGGCGGAAUGCGAGGUGUAGCGGUGAAAUGCAUAGAGAUCACGCAGAACUCCGAUUGCGAAGGCAGCUUACUAAACUAUAACUGACACUGAAGCACGAAAGCGUGGGGAUCAAACAGGAUUAGAUACCCGGGUAGUC